RNAcentral lists this ribosomal RNA (508 nucleotides) under uncultured bacterium. RNAcentral's name for it is "partial 16S ribosomal RNA". It matches the Rfam family "Bacterial small subunit ribosomal RNA", at positions 28 to 507 of the family's 1533-position model. The record is from RNAcentral.
GACGAACGCUGGCGGCGUGCCUAAUACAUGCAAGUCGAACGCUUCUUUCCUCCCGAGUGCUUGCACUCAAUUGGAAAGAGGAGUGGCGGACGGGUGAGUAACACGUGGGUAACCUACCCAUCAGAGGGGGAUAACACUUGGAAACAGGUGCUAAUACCGCAUAACAGUUUAUGCCGCAUGGCAUAAGAGUGAAAGGCGCUUUCGGGGGUCGCUGAUGGAUGGACCCGCGGUGCAUUAGCUAGUUGGUGAGGUAACGGCUCACCAAGGCCACGAUGCAUAGCCGACCUGAGAGGGUGAUCGGCCACACUGGGACUGAGACACGGCCCAGACUCCUAUGGGAGGCAGCAGUAGGGAAUCUUCGGCAAUGGACGAAAGUCUGACCGAGCAACGCCGCGUGAGUGAAGAAGGUUUUCGGAUCGUAAAACUCUGUUGUUAGAGAAGAACAAGGACGUUAGUAACUGAACGUCCCCUGACGGUAUCUAACCAGAAAGCCACGGCUAACUACGUG